This 1462-nucleotide long non-coding RNA is filed under the name Homo sapiens (human). Its description in RNAcentral is "HSALNT0127434". The record is from RNAcentral. Lineage: Eukaryota; Metazoa; Chordata; Mammalia; Primates; Hominidae.
GAAAUGAGGGCCCUUAAUUAGGGAGCAUUUCCAGUUGAUAGAGUUUAGGGCAGUAAAGAGAAAUAUUAGGAAUAAGAGAUAUAAUAAUAGUACAUGAGAUAUUUUUGGAAGUUCUCGGCUAUCAAGCUGAAUAAUCUGAACUCUAUAUAAACUGAACAAUCAUUGAAAGAUUUUGAGCUUAAGAAUUGUGUGACAGAUGCAGCCAUAAAAAAGAAUGAGAUCAUGUCUUGUGGGAAUAUGGAUGGAGCUGCAGGCUAUUAUCCUUAGCAAACAACGCAGGAACAGAAAACCUGUGUUACAGAAUACGGCUUGUUCUCACAAUUGGGAGCUAAAUGAAGAGAACUUACCAACGCAAAGACAGAAAUGACAGACAUGGGUGUACCUGAAGGUGCAGGGUGGGAGGAGGGAGAGGAGCAAGAUGACUAUUGGGUAUUGGGCUUAAUUCCUGGGUGAUGAAAUAAUCUGUACAACAAACUCCCAUGACAUGAAUUUACCUAUGUAACAUAUCCUCACAUGUACCCCCGAACCUAAAAGUUUUUUUUUAUAUUGUGUAAUCAUUACACUAUAAUGGAAUAAUAUUUUAGGAAGGUUAAUCUGAUACCGGGAUGCACUAAAGAGGCAGAAGGUGGAGGGGACACUAUAGUGCAUUCCAACAGAAAUGAGCAUGAAUUUUGAUAGAGGCAGUAGAAAGAGAAGAGGGUGGAGCCCAGGUGAUGAGUAGAGAAUACAUAAUGAAUGAAAGAGAAAGAUGAGAGGGGAAGGGUUUGUUUUCAGAGAUACAGAAUUUAGACAAGUUGAAAAUGUGACCUCGGUUUCCUGAGAGCUUGAGUUUUCACUUUGUUUCAUUUCUCAAUUGGUUAAAACAGUGGUUCUCAAACCUGGCAUUUAUCACAAUCUCCUGGGAAUGAGGAUAUCAAAGAAUUCAGGUCUGGAGAUUUUGUUUGAAAUCUCAAAAUCUGUCUAUUUAAACAUUUCCCUUACAGCUCAUGGGCCACUACUUCAGAUAUAAUUUGGGUUACAGUAUUAAAGGAAAUGUGGUAAACACUAAAAUCAAAUAAACACACUUAAAAAUUAUUACACAGUUGAAGAAAAACUAUUAAAAUCUUAGGAUAUAUGUGAGAGUUGGAUAAGCAGGAGGAAAGGGGGAAGCAAUAUAGGGCUAAAUCUGUUUACAUGUAAAAGUCAGAAGUUAUUCUUUUGUCUUUGUUUUUAUAAUUAGAUGUGACAAAGAUAAAAGAAUGGAUAUUACAUUAUGAGUAUUUGUAGACUUCUCCCCUCUCCCUACUUCCUAACAAGGUUCCUGGCCUCCCUGCUGAACUCUGGGUACUAAGGUGCCAGUCUGAAAAAUGAAAGAAGAGGAAAACUGAAAGAAGCCUGGCUCAAUUAGCCUAUAUAAAAAUGAAAAUGGCUAACAACUGGGAACUUACUGUCAGGCUAAGAUAAUUGAGAACCUUACUGUAAG